This 760-nucleotide ribosomal RNA is filed under the name Streptomyces sp. RNAcentral describes it as "bacterial SSU rRNA". It matches the Rfam family "Bacterial small subunit ribosomal RNA", at positions 105 to 876 of the family's 1533-position model. The record is from RNAcentral. Lineage: Bacteria; Bacillati; Actinomycetota; Actinomycetes; Kitasatosporales; Streptomycetaceae.
GGUGAGUAACACGUGGGCAAUCUGCCCUGCACUCUGGGACAAGCCCUGGAAACGGGGUCUAAUACCGGAUACUGACCCGCUUGGGCAUCCAAGCGGUUCGAAAGCUCCGGCGGUGCAGGAUGAGCCCGCGGCCUAUCASCUUGUUGGUGAGGUAAUGGCUCACCAAGGCGACGACGGGUAGCCGGCCUGAGAGGGCGACCGGCCACACUGGGACUGAGACACGGCCCAGACUCCUACGGGAGGCAGCAGUGGGGAAUAUUGCACAAUGGGCGAAAGCCUGAUGCAGCGACGCCGCGUGAGGGAUGACGGCCUUCGGGUUGUAAACCUCUUUCAGCAGGGAAGAAGCGAAAGUGACGGUACCUGCAGAAGAAGCGCCGGCUAACUACGUGCCAGCAGCCGCGGUAAUACGUAGGGCGCGAGCGUUGUCCGGAAUUAUUGGGCGUAAAGAGCUCGUAGGCGGCUUGUCGCGUCGGUUGUGAAAGCCCGGGGCUUAACCCCGGGUCUGCAGUCGAUACGGGCAGGCUAGAGUUCGGUAGGGGAGAUCGGAAUUCCUGGUGUAGCGGUGAAAUGCGCAGAUAUCAGGAGGAACACCGGUGGCGAAGGCGGAUCUCUGGGCCGAUACUGACGCUGAGGAGCGAAAGCGUGGGGAGCGAACAGGAUUAGAUACCCUGGUAGUCCACGCCGUAAACGGUGGGCACUAGGUGUGGGCGACAUUCCACGUCGUCCGUGCCGCAGCUAACGCAUUAAGUGCCCCGCCUGG